ACGGAAGGCAUCCUUGCUUCAUAUUGGUUAAUGGGCGAGAGCCUGAACCAGCCAAGUAGCGUGUAGGAUGACUGCCCUAUGGGUUGUAAACUACUUUUAUUAGGGAAUAAAGUGCUCUACGUGUAGAGUUUUGUAUGUACCUUUUGAAUAAGCAUCGGCUAAUUCCGUGCCAGCAGCCGCGGUAAUACGGAAGAUGCGAGCGUUAUCCGGAUUUAUUGGGUUUAAAGGGAGCGUAGGCGGACUAUUAAGUCUGCGGUGAAAUGUCAUGGCCCAACCUUGGCAUGCCGCGGAUACUGAUGGUCUUGAGUGCACACAAGGAAGAUGGAAUUCGUCGUGUAGCGGUGAAAUGCUUAGAUAUGACGAAGAACUCCGAUUGCGAAGGCAGUCUUCUGGGGUGUUACUGACGCUGAGGCUCGAAAGUGCGGGAAUCAAACAGGAUUAGAUACCCUGGUA
RNAcentral lists this ribosomal RNA (453 nucleotides) under uncultured Paraprevotella sp. RNAcentral describes it as "partial 16S ribosomal RNA". It matches the Rfam family "Bacterial small subunit ribosomal RNA", at positions 341 to 792 of the family's 1533-position model. The record is from RNAcentral. Lineage: Bacteria; Pseudomonadati; Bacteroidota; Bacteroidia; Bacteroidales; Prevotellaceae.